UGCGGGGUCAAUUUCUAGAGGCUUGUCCACCAGUAUAUCCAGAUCCAGACAUGCAGCCUCCUCCAAGAAAGGUAAAAGUAACACAAGAAGUGAAACACACUCACACAGAGCAGCUGAACAGACUCCAGCUUAAACACCAGACAGACUUGGACUUCCUGGAGGAUCUGAGGAUUUACAGCCAGAAGAAAGCACUAAUAGAGAAAGAUUGCUCACAGG
Sinocyclocheilus grahami is the source of this 216-nucleotide long non-coding RNA. RefSeq lists it as uncharacterized. NCBI's taxonomy places the organism in Eukaryota, Metazoa, Chordata, Actinopteri, Cypriniformes, Cyprinidae. The record is from RefSeq and is a predicted model, not a curated record. The transcript has 3 exons.